AACGAACGCUGGCGGCGCGCUUAACACAUGCAAGUCGAACGAGAAGGCGUAGCAAUACGCUUGUACAGUGGCGAACGGGUGAGGAAUACAUGGGUAACCUACCCUCGAGUGGGGGAUAACCCGCCGAAAGGCGGGCUAAUACCGCGUACGCUUCCGAUCUUGCGGGAUUGGAAGGAAAGCUGUCCCUUGGGGAUGGCGCUCAAGGAUGGGCUCAUGUCCUAUCAGCUUGNGGUAGGGUAACGGCCUACCAAGGCAUCGACGGGUAGCUGGUCUGAGAGGACGAUCAGCCACACUGGCACUGCGACACGGGCCAGACUCCUACGGGAGGCAGCAGUGAGGAAUAUUGCGCAAUGGGCGAAAGCCUGACGCAGCGACGCCGCGUGGGGGAUGAAGGUCUUCGGAUUGUAAACCCCUUUCGGG
RNAcentral lists this ribosomal RNA (420 nucleotides) under uncultured bacterium. RNAcentral describes it as "bacterial SSU rRNA". It matches the Rfam family "Bacterial small subunit ribosomal RNA", at positions 29 to 440 of the family's 1533-position model. The record is from RNAcentral.